Molecule: long non-coding RNA, 488 nt
Organism: Marmota monax (woodchuck)
Lineage: Eukaryota; Metazoa; Chordata; Mammalia; Rodentia; Sciuridae
Exons: 2
Source: RefSeq, a predicted model, not a curated record
UGGGGUGCUGAGUGGCUGGAUGGAGUUAGGAUUCAGCCAGUGGCCAGCCCAGGCUGUCUUUGGUAAGAGUGAGUGCUGUUCCUCCGUACCUCAGCUGUUCCUCCGUACCUCAGCAGCGAUGAUGACCUAACCUCUCAUGAGUGAUGAUGACCAAGUCUCUUAUGAGCCUCCUCCAAAAGUAGUCCAAACAGCCAGCAAGUUAAACCCAGAAGAGGAGCACCGGACCAGCUGCACACUCAGGAAGUCCCUGGCUAUGGAAAAAACGAUACUUCCUGGACCUUGUAGAGACACAAAGGAAGAAACACAGAGAAGGCCAUGUAAAGACACAGAGAAGGGAAUACUGCUGCCACAGACCAAGAAAUGAGGAACCACCAGAAGAAACUGGAAGAUGCAAGGAAGGGGGCCUCCGGUUGGUCCUGCCAACACUUUGAUUUCAGACUUCCAGCCUCCAGAACUGUAAAAGAAUAAAUUUCUGUUGUCUAAGCCAA